Long non-coding RNA from Mustela erminea (ermine), 1019 nucleotides. RefSeq lists it as uncharacterized. The record is from RefSeq and is a predicted model, not a curated record. The transcript has 2 exons. NCBI's taxonomy places the organism in Eukaryota, Metazoa, Chordata, Mammalia, Carnivora, Mustelidae.
AGAAUCCGGAUAUAGAAGUGCAUCCGGGGACAUGGCGCACGAGCGCCAUGACGCAACUUCCGGGACGGGGGUUGGGCGUGAGGAGGUAUAGGCGGCACCUGCUAAGGGUUUAGGGAGUUCGGGAACCGCCACACCGGACACGUGCAGACACAGCGAGACCCAGCCCGCGCAGGAGGGACUGCGUAGCGGCCGAACCCACCGGCCGGAAGUCCCUGAAGAGGCACGGGUUCGCCGAGCUCGCGCUUCCUGACCGUGGGCACUCCGUCCGCGCGCCCAGGGAAGAGCGCGCGUGCGUGUGUACGUGUGUACGUGCGUGCGUGCGUGCGUCUGGCGAAAGGGGUGGGCGUGCCUGAGGGCGGCAGUGGCCCGCGCGGUCCCUUGUGCUCCCCGCCCCGUGUGCAGGGCUGUACUUUCUCGGAUCGGUACGUUUUCGUCGCGCCUGGAGAAACCGCCCAACCUCUGCGGCGUUUCCUUCCUCGGGCCCUGAGCCUGCGCUCUUUUGCCCUCGUCGGCCUCGCCGCUCUUGGUACCUUUCCAGCCAGGGCGGUUUUCCGGAGCUACGGGGCCAAUCCGACUGGUUGUGAGUAGGUCCGAAAGCCGCGGUUUAGGGCCCAGGGGACCCAGCACGCUUUGCUGACCCCCGCGAAGGCCGAACUCAAAAAAGCGGACGUUGACUGUGUUUUGCAGACGGGGAGCGUAAAACCCACAACGCUUGGAUCCCCGCUACCAAACAGUACCACAAAGUGUUCUGCCCCAGAGACAAGGUUUUGGGAACAAGCAUGUACUCUUGACUUUUUUUUCCUUACCAUCUUUGGUUCCUUUUAAGUAUUAUUAUUUUCGUUCAAGAUACACACUCCAGGGGUAGUUUGAAAGUGCUUUUGAAUUAUGUUCCUCCCAUGGCAAGAGCUUAUUACGCUUGGACCGCCUUAGCUGCACAGUCAUCAAUCCUGAUAAGCUCUUAACUGGAUCCUCUUAGCGUAGGCUGCCAACAAAAUGAAAAGUGUAUCAUAAAAUCCUUU